CAGGACUCGCAAGACUCCUACAACCCUGUGAACUUAACUAUAAGCACGUUGCUUCGGCGGGUGUCUCGGCGAGGGUCCUCCCUCCCCGGGGCGCUAAGCCCGCCGGCAGCCUACUAUACCUCUGUCUCUUUGCGUUGGCAUCUCGAGUACAAUCAAACAAGUUA
This 164-nucleotide unclassified non-coding RNA is filed under the name soil metagenome. Its description in RNAcentral is "partial internal transcribed spacer 1". The record is from RNAcentral.